This 253-nucleotide ribosomal RNA is filed under the name uncultured bacterium. RNAcentral's name for it is "partial 16S ribosomal RNA". It matches the Rfam family "Bacterial small subunit ribosomal RNA", at positions 524 to 776 of the family's 1533-position model. The record is from RNAcentral.
UACGUAGGGGGCAAGCGUUGUCCGGAAUUAUUGGGCGUAAAGCGCGUGUAGGCGGUCCGAUAAGUCGGCUGUGAAAGUCCAGGGCUCAACUCUGGAAUGCCGGCCGAUACUGUCGGACUAGAGUCCGGAAGAGGCAAGUGGAAUUCCCGGUGUAGCGGUGAAAUGCGCAGAUAUCAGGAGGAACACCAAUUGCGAAGGCAGCUCGCUGGGACGUUACUGACGCUGAGACGCGAAAGCGUGGGGAGCAAACAGG